Molecule: unclassified non-coding RNA, 262 nt
Filed under: Hevea brasiliensis (rubber tree)
Lineage: Eukaryota; Viridiplantae; Streptophyta; Magnoliopsida; Malpighiales; Euphorbiaceae
Source: RNAcentral
CAUUCGCCUGACCGAUCUGCUGGAAAGUUGGGGGCGAAUGUCAAAUCUACUCCACGAGGGGCAUCACACCGACAUCAUGGCCACGAAACCUCCCCCGCCGCGCCCCGCGCCACGGCUCUAUCUGGCGACGCCACUCGUUGCCGAUCCCGCGCAGCUUGCAUCCGAACUGCCCGCGUUGCUGGCGGCGGCCGAUGUGGCCGCGGUUUUGCUGCGGCUCACGAAGACCGAUGAGCGCGGCAUGAUCCAGCGCGUCAAGGCGCUG